This is a long non-coding RNA of Salvelinus fontinalis (brook trout), 380 nucleotides long. RefSeq lists it as uncharacterized. The record is from RefSeq and is a predicted model, not a curated record. The transcript is spliced from 3 exons. NCBI's taxonomy places the organism in Eukaryota, Metazoa, Chordata, Actinopteri, Salmoniformes, Salmonidae.
UUUCUAUAUAAUACUGUAUCUGAAAGAGCAGAUUCUGUAGGUAAAACAUUGUGUUUCUAUAUAGUACUGUAUCUGAAAGAGCAGAUUCUGCAGGUAAAACAUUGUGUUUCUAUAUAAUACUGUAUCUGAAAGAGCAGAUUCUACAGGUUCCGUGACACGUACCUUUAUCAAAUAACUCUCAACAUUCAGGAGGUGCAGCUCUAUUUCCAAAGUUCACUUUUUCUUCAACAACAUCCGUGUUGUCCAUGUAUUUAUCACAGGACCACUCCAGCAGCAGCAUUGAUCUGGCAACUAAGCAAAAACUAGUAACACACUCAAAUUAAAAUCUGCUAUUCUGUCGUCAAUGGAUGAACGGACAAUAGAAACCAGAUAGAAACUGA